GAUGAACGCUGGCGGCGUGCCUAAUACAUGCAAGUCGAGCGAACAGACGAGGAGCUUGCUCCUCUGACGUUAGCGGCGGACGGGUGAGUAACACGUGGAUAACCUACCUAUAAGACUGGGAUAACUUCGGGAAACCGGAGCUAAUACCGGAUAAUAUAUUGAACCGCAUGGUUCAAUAGUGAAAGACGGUUUUGCUGUCACUUAUAGAUGGAUCCGCGCCGCAUUAGCUAGUUGGUAAGGUAACGGCUUACCAAGGCGACGAUGCGUAGCCGACCUGAGAGGGUGAUCGGCCACACUGGAACUGAGACACGGUCCAGGCUCCUACGGGAGGCAGCAGGAGGGAAUCUUCCGCGAUGGGCGAAAGCCUGACGGAGCAACGCCGCGUGAGUGAAGAAGGUCUUCGGAUCGUAAAACUCUGUUAUUAGGGAAGAACAAAUGUGUAAGUAACUAUGCACGUCUUGACGGUACCUAAACAGAAAGCCACGGCUAACUACGU
RNAcentral lists this ribosomal RNA (496 nucleotides) under uncultured bacterium. Its description in RNAcentral is "partial 16S ribosomal RNA". It matches the Rfam family "Bacterial small subunit ribosomal RNA", at positions 28 to 506 of the family's 1533-position model. The record is from RNAcentral.